Monodelphis domestica (gray short-tailed opossum) is the source of this 4989-nucleotide non-coding RNA. The record is from RefSeq and is a predicted model, not a curated record. NCBI's taxonomy places the organism in Eukaryota, Metazoa, Chordata, Mammalia, Didelphimorphia, Didelphidae.
AUUAACUGAACUAAGUCUGGAAUCAUUGUGCUCUUGAUUAGGCUUAAAUCAAUUUUCUUCUUGUUGUGGAGUAGAAUCAUAUAGAUAGAUAGAGUUAGAUGUAGAAAGGUUUUAGAGACCUCCAACCUUUUAAUUUUCUAGAUCUCCAGAAACUGAGACCCAGAGAGUUUAAGUAACUCAUUCUGGGUCACACAAUAUAUCAGAGGCAAAAUUUGAACCCAAGAUUUCUGACUCAGAGAGAGUGCUCUGUUCAGUCUGCCAUAGUACAGUGCCCCCUUCUCCUGAAAGAGAAGGUACUGAUAGUGAAUUCAAGUCAUUUACCAUACAUUGAAUUAAAAAAAAAAAACAUGUAUUAAGUGUCUAUUUAAUAAAUGGAAUAACAAAUGUUAGAUUUGGAGUCAUGAAGAUAGAAGGUUCAAAUCCCACCUGAGACAGUUAUAUUAACUGUGUCACCUUGGAUAAGUCAACUAGCCUCUUGUGUCUCAGUUUCCUCAGGGUUUUGAACUCUUGCUUCUGUGGUUCCUUCCAGGGCUAAAUAUGUGGUCCACACUUGUACAAAGAGUGCCUUAUGCAUGAGAAUAUAUAAAAUUUAGUUAAGAUUUAACAGCCUCUGUCUUUAUGAAACUUAGAGUCUAGUAGAGGGACCUGGUAGACUACAGAAACAAUUUUAAUUCAAACAAAUAUGUCACAAGUAUUUAAGAGAUGGGCAAACAAAGCAGCACUAUGUGAGAUUUAAGAAGAACUUUAUUGCCUGAGAGGGAUCAAGACAGGUCCCUUGGAGAAAAUGAGAUUGAGUUGGAUUUUAAAAAGUUGGAUUGAGGUGAGUGGUUGGAGAGGGGGUUGGUGGUGGUAGGUAAAGGGAGAGACCAAGCAAGGGGAUGGUUGGGAAAAUGUGGCUUUUGCAAAGGUCUGAUUUGGCUGGAACUUAUAAGAUUUUCAGGAGAAUAUGUGUCUGACCAAAGGCUAGAAAGGUAGAUGGGGACAGACUAGUGAAGGGCAUUAUAUGUCAGGGUAAGAAGUUUAAAUUUUAUUUCUUAGAUAAUAGGGAGUCAUUGAAGGGUUUUAGGAAGUGGACAAUCCAGUUGAAAAGGGAGAGAGUAGAGAAUUAGAUCAGGAAGAUAUUUUAAUAGCGUCAUUGUCAUUCAGUUGUGUCUAACUCUUUGUGACCCCAUUUGGAGUUUUCUUGGCAAAGAUAUUGGAGUGCUUUGCCAUUUCCUUCUCUAGUGCAUUUUACAGAUGAGGAAACCGAGGCAAACCAGAUUAAGUGACUUGCCUAGAGUUGCACAGCCAAAAAGUGUCUGAGGCCAGAUAUCUCAGGAAGACGUCUUCAUGACUCCAUUCUGGGCUCUAUCUCCACUGAGCCAGCUACUUCACUAUAGGAAAACCUAUAUGCUGCUGUUUUGGUGAAAAUUUGUUGGAGACAAUAUAUUAAUAUAGAUGUAUUUCUACUUGGAGAAAAAUUUGGAAGAUCAAAGAUCCCUCUGCUAUUCAGAAUAUCUUCUGACCCAAGCAACUUCCACCUUAAUACUUAUAGUAAUGAAACAAAAGACAAAAUUUCACAACAAAGUAAAAUAAAGACAAAUAGUGGAAGUUUAGAGUUUUUCACCUAAACUGAAUUUAGAAAUGUGGAUACACCCUUGGAGAAAUUAUUGGACAAAUUCCACUUUCAAGACUGGUGGUGAAAGGUAAACAAAAGGACACUUCUUGACUUUCCCAGGUUGAGCUUAUGGUUGCCAAAACUCACCCUAAACAUCUAGUCCCAGGGAAUUCAAAUUCCUUCCUGAAAUGAACCAAGUCUUUUAAUCAAGAUAAAGUGAUUUGAUUUUCCAUUCAAGUGAAACUAGGAAUUUCAGAUUAGGACACUAAUAAAAUAUCAAUUAAAAAAAAACAAACAUCAUAGUCCUGUAUACUCCCACAGUAGAAAUGAGGGCUGGUUAUUAAUCUAUGUAACUAGAAGGAUUAUCUAGCCCAACCUCCCUCAUUUUACAGAUAAGCAAACUGAGGCUAAGAUCAAUUAAGUGAUGAUUUGCCCAAGUUCACUUAUUAGAAACAUCACACAUGGAAUUUAAAUUUAGGUCCUCUGUUUUCAAGACUUUCAAGGUACCAGGCUCCUUCUUACUAGAGUUCAUAGGCAGUAGAAAUGGAGAGAAAAGGAUGGACUGGAAAGUUUGAUAGAGAUAGAACUGAUAGGACAUGUUACUGGUUACAGAAGAUGAAAAAGAAAAAUACCAAGAUUUUUAAAAAUCAUAGGUGAGGGGUCCCUGAGAAAAAGAGUGAUGUCAAGCUUGAGAUUUAGGUAGGGAGAUGAGAUAAAGAAUAAUAACUGUUUUUGACACCUUUAAUUUGAGGUAACAGUGGGAUAUCAAGGUGGGGAUGUACUUAUAAAAAUGAAUCGGAGAUAUGGGGGAAUGGAGAGAGGCUAAGGCUGGAGAGAAAGAUUUGGUAGCUAUCAUCUGCAAGAUAAAAUAUAUGGGCAGCCAGGUGGCCUGGAGACAGGAGGUCCUGGGUUCAAAACUGGCCUCAGACACUUUCUUAGCUGUGUGACUCUGGGCAAGUUACUUAACCCCCGUGGCCUAGCCUUUAUCUCUCUUUUGCCUUAAAACCAAAGUAAGGGUUAAAAAAAAGAGAGUGACAUCACCAGUGAUGUCAUUUGUUUCUUUGAGUGAGCACAACAAUCACAAGAAAGAGGAAAAUCAAGAGAAAAGGGAGCAUCCAGUAUCAUUCUAGUCUUUGACUUAGAAGAGGUUUCUGCAAGAUGACCAGAUCGACCAGCAUAAGAUUGCACAAAGCAUAGAGCCAUAACUAGGAAUUUUUGAUUCUGGGAAAAGAGUCCGCCCUCAGACUCCGCCCGCCAAGGUUCCUUUGAGCUCUGUACAUUUCUCCCGUUUGCCAUACAGGAUGCUGGGAGUCACAAUGACUUCAUACCAGGAUCAACUUCCAAGGCAGUUGAAAGUUUUGAGUCUUAUAAGGAAGGGAGCAACUUCUUAUUCAGAUGAGAAAACUGAAGAUGAGAUAGGUUGGCUGAUUCGACUAGGAUCACACAACUGAUAAAUGUCUGACUGAGGCAGUAUUUUUAAAACUCUGUCCUGACUCUAAGGCUAGGUCUCUAUCCACAGUACCAAACUGCUUCCUGGGGUCCACUAGACAAAUUGAACUGAUGAGGAAGAGCAUCCCAGGCAGCUAGAAGAACAAAGGCAAAGAUACCAAAGGACAAAUACUCUAAGAAUGGUUGUACUAUCUAUCAAGAUAGUCUUUGAGGAGAAUCCUUCUCACUCCAAGAUUGUGGUUGAGAGCCCAUAGGAGUUGUGAAUAUAAGGAGAAAAUAAAGCAAGCAUAGGUUGGCUUUUUUUCCUUUUUUUUUUAGGUAUAUGAAUUGUUAUUACUUUAAAACAUGAGUUUGUCUCAAGUGACACAGGCUUAUAAUGUCUAUUUCAUUGGUGAUAUCUAUCUUUUCCUUCUGAAAUGACAUUUGCUAAAUAGAAUGCUUUUUUAAAAAACCCUUAACUUCUAUCUUAGAAUAACUACUGUGUAAUUGGUUCCAAGUCAGAAGAGUGGAAGAGCCCUAGCCAGUGUUGGUGAACCUUUUAGAGACUGAGUGCCCAAACUAUAUCCUGAUGCUGCAUUUGAGCCCUCGCCUUACCCCAGACAGGGGACAGAGGAAAUGCUUCCAAUGUCAUGUAAGAAAUGUCCUCAGGCUCAUGGAGAGGGGAAGGAGAGCAGCCCCCUCAGGCACGUGUCCCUUGGAUUCACCCACAAUUCACCAAUUGUAAGCCAACGGAGGUUAAGUGAUUUUCCCAGGGUCACACAGCUAAGAGGUAUCUGAGACCAGAUAUGAGACCAGGACCUCCCAUCUUUAAGCAUGGCUCCCAAUCCACUAAAUCACCUAACUGUUCUCUCGAUAUGUUUUUAAUCAAAGGAGAAGAAAGUAAAGGAACCAAUGGAGGGAAAAGAGUGAAAGUGUACAGAGAAGGGGGCAGGUGGAUGGCUCAGUGGAUAGAGAGCCAGUCCUAGAGACCAGAGGUCCUGGGUUCGAAGUUGGCCCUAGACACUUCCUAGCUGUGUGACCCUGGGCAAGUCCCUUAACCCCCAUUGCCUAGUCCUUGCUGCCCUUCUGCCUUGGAUUUAAUAUACGAUCCCAAGAUGGACGGUAAGGGUUUAAAAAAAAAUUUUUUUUUAAACAAAGUAUAUGGAGAAAGUACAAACUUUUACUUUGAGACAAGAAAGAAAAUUAUUCUAAAUUGUGAAAAUAAUUCUAUUAAGGGUGUGUUAUUUAAAAAAAAGUUUUAAAAACCAUACCACUUGCUCCACUAAAAUUAAUUGAUUAAAAUUUAUAGACUGAUAUCAGCAUAAAGAGACCAGAAUUGUGAUCAUCUGAGAUGUCACAUAUUAAUAAACUAGCAAAAAACAAAAACAAAAACAAAAGACCCAACAUUUAGAUCAAGAGUUUUUCAUCUUUUUUGUGUCAUAGGCCUCUUUAGGAGUCAAUCUGUAAAAGCCUGUGGACUCUUUCUUGGGACAGUGUUUUUAAAUGAGUAAAAUAAAAUAUAUAGGAUUACCGAGGAAGCCAAUUAUAGUGAAAUACAGUUAUUAAACUAUUAAGAAAAAACAAUCAAGUUCACAGACUCCAUGUUAAGAACCUCUGAUUUAGAACCAUAGAGAAUUAAGUCAGUUGAAAAUAGAGAAUUAAGUCAGUUGAAAAUGAUAAAAGCAGGUACUAGACUGUGAAACUGCUUUUUUUAAGGACAUUUAAUUUCACAUAUGGAAAAACAUCCUAUAUAUACACUUGGUGAACACACAUUUAUUAAGCUCUUAUUAUGUGCCAAAUUCAGUGAAAAAUACUGUGAAUAAAAUAAAGGCCAUGCCUGUCAUGAGCUCACUUUCUGAUGGGGAAGAUAAACACAAAAAGAACUAGGUAUGUAUAAGACAUGCACAGAGUAGAUGGAAGAUUCUUAUAUGCAUAUAUAUACAUAUAUAUAUAUGUAUACUUGG